Molecule: ribosomal RNA, 661 nt
Filed under: Pediococcus sp. LQC 1953
Lineage: Bacteria; Bacillati; Bacillota; Bacilli; Lactobacillales; Lactobacillaceae
Description: bacterial SSU rRNA
Rfam family: Bacterial small subunit ribosomal RNA
Source: RNAcentral
GCGUAUUAGCUAGUUGGUGAGGUAAAGGCUCACCAAGGCAGUGAUACGUAGCCGACCGAGAGGGUAAUCGGCCACAUUGGGACUGAGACACGGCCCAGACUCCUACGGGAGGCAGCAGUAGGGAAUCUCCCACAAUGGACGCAAGUCUGAUGGAGCAACGCCGCGUGAGUGAAGAAGGGUUUCGGCUCGUAAAGCUCUGUUGUUAAAGAAGAACGUGGGUAAGAGUAACUGUUUAACCAGUGACGGUAUUUAAACCAGAAAGCCACGGCUAACUACGUGCCAGCAGCCGCGGUAAUACGUAGGUGGCAAGCGUUAUCCGGAUUUAUUGGGCGUAAAGCGAGCGCAGGCGGUCUUUUAAGUCUAAUGUGAAAGCCUUCGGCUACAACCGAAGAAGUGCAUUGGAAACUGGGAGACUUGAGUGCAGAAGAGGACAGUGGAACUCCAUGUGUAGCGGUGAAAUGCGUAGAUAUAUGGAAGAACACCAGUGGCGAAGGCGGCUGUCUGGUCUGCAACUGACGCUGAGGCUCGAAAGCAUGGGUAGCGAACAGGAUUAGAUACCCUGGUAGUCCAUGCCGUAAACGAUGAUUACAAGUGUUGGAGGGUUUCCGCCCUUCAGUGCUCAGCUAACGCAUUAAGUAAUCCGCCUGGGGAGUACGACCGC